GGGGGUGGAAGGGAACUGGUCCAUCAUCUGCUUGGUCAGCUAGCUUUCUGAAUAAAGCCGCUAUUCCUUGCCCCAACAAGUCAUCUCUAGAUUUAUUGUCCUGUUAUGUGGUGAGCAGUACGAGCUUGGACUGGGUAACAAAUUUUGGAAAGCCAGCCAACUGCCUUGCUGCUCCUGGCCAGUGAGGCCUGGUUGGGGAAUUUUUCGGUAAGGCCUUUGCAGCUGCUGGGACCACUUGUCCUGAGGUUUUCCGUUCAAGGUUUCCCAAAGCGGCACCGGCUGCCCCAGUGCUUGACCAUUGGAGCAAAGAAUUGAGAUCUAGGAGUCGACGGGCUCCAUACAGUAGGAUGCCUGAUUGCUUUUGCCCCGCCUGGGGAACAUCUCUGUUUUGCUCAGUGUCCUGCAGUGUUUGAUAGAGCUGGAUUUACAGAUGGUGCUUCAGCAGCUGAUCCCCCAUCUAAUGCAUGCAGGUAUGAAACUUAAAGUGCCAGGGAAUUUUGUCUCCCAUAUGAUUCAGAAGGGGAUCAUUACACCAUCUCUCAAGCACAAGACUUGCCAUUCAGAGGUCACCAUCCUGUUAGAAGGAAAAAUCAAUAGUGGAAAAUAGAAGCAUCCCCUGCUUAGUGACUCACACUGUGCUGGGUGAUCAGAGUUGAUGUGGACAUUUUCCUUUGCAUGGUGUAGCCAAUGGUGCCUCUUGGCAUCUGUGCCACACCUGUGACUAUGUAUGCUUCGGUGGAAGGAAGAAGUCGGAAUAGGAACAGUAACAUGAGCUACUCCCAGAUGCCAUGGACGAGGAUACUAAAUAGGAUGUCCUCGGCGAUAUUUGUCCCCUUUCAAAGAAAAUUAAACAAUCCCGUGUCUCUCCCCACCUCCCAGAGAACUUGUGUUUCAAAAGGUCAGAGUGUCUGGGUCAGAAAUUAGCUGCCUCCCACUCUGUUCAGCAUCUACACACAGUAAAAUUUUUCAUGUGUUACCACGAAUUUUCCAAAGGAGUUAUUUCUUCCUCUACUUUCCAUCUACUCCUCCUGAAACGGCUACUAGUACUAUCCUAGAACUGACUAACAUAUGCUUCCCUUUUUCAUAUUAGAUUUGUGUUAGCAUAUAAAAAAAAAUGAGUUGAUAUAGCUUUUGGGAAGUCUAGUUGGCAGCAGAGUUGGACAGCAGAUGGCCACUUGGAAACUAGACCGAGAAAGGUGAUUUACUCUGCAUGUAUAUGCUGAUAAGGGAGUCCUGUUUUGAGGCUACCCUGAAAGUCCUUGACCUAAUGCAAAGCCCCAGAGACAGCUCAGAGUAGGAAAAAUGAUCAUAACCGAUUACCUGCCUAAGGCAAAAUAUACCACUUAUAACCAGCUAUAGAUAUGCCAACAAUGUACAGUAAACAAAUAUAUUGACAGCCUAUAGUAGCUUUUAUCUUCUGCAAAAAAAAGAGCAGGCUUACAAUAAGCUUUUCUUGGAUGUUUCCUAAAAUUCUUUCCAAGUACUUUAAAGCGGUCUUUAAAAAUAGGUAACUUUUAGUUCCAUACUUUGUUUCUGCAGAAAAAGCUACUGGCAGGCUCGUUUAAAAAUAAUUCUAAACAAUUUUUUUCUUUAAAAAAACAAGGUUUAUUCUUUUUAUCUUUUUACCUUUAUAGGUAAAUUAACAGCUGAGAACAGUAUCUAAUUAAUACUAUCUAUAGUGGGCAACUUUUAGCUAAGAAGUUCUAUUUUGGUUCUUAAGAAAUGUUAACCAUAAAUGUAUAAUAACUGCUUUACUACAAAAUUUGUAAGUCAUAUUUCCAACACUUCUCUUGCCUCGAUGAAAAUUAUUGAAGGUCUUCCUCUAUCAUCAAAGCCCAAGGAUAUUUAUGUCAUGGUAUACGGGUAAGUAGAUUUGAAUUUUUGUUUAUCAUCAUUUACUAAGUUACACAAAAGAUUCCAGUUCAAGUUAAUAGACAAAACGUAAGCUAGAUUUAAAGUGCUGUAUU
This is a non-coding RNA of Vicugna pacos (alpaca), 1967 nucleotides long. The record is from RefSeq and is a predicted model, not a curated record. Lineage: Eukaryota; Metazoa; Chordata; Mammalia; Artiodactyla; Camelidae.